GGUCGCAGGCUUAAUUGGCAAAUCACUCGCCUACAGAGCGAGCGAUUCCUGGUUCGAUCACUCAAGUCGCUGCAGCUCAGAGCGCCAGGCGAACAUGCGCCAU
This 103-nucleotide transfer RNA is filed under the name Medusavirus stheno T3. RNAcentral describes it as "tRNA-Cys". The record is from RNAcentral. Lineage: Varidnaviria; Bamfordvirae; Nucleocytoviricota; Megaviricetes; Mamonoviridae.